UUGAAUAAACUUGAACAGGCUGUUUGCUGGCCUCUCUCUCCAGAGGGGUAUGUGCACGCUUGUCAUCUUUAUCUCUCCAACUGUGCACAUGCUGUAGAUCUGAGAGCCCUUUUGUAUUCUCGAAUAGAUUGAGGAUUGCUGUACUCAAGUGCGGCUUUGCCUUGCAUUUCCAGAUCUAUGUUUUUUUUUAUCACAAUCUCUGAAUGUGUCUAGAAUGUUGAAUCAAAUGAUAAAUCAUAUA
Molecule: unclassified non-coding RNA, 241 nt
Filed under: uncultured Inocybaceae
Lineage: Eukaryota; Fungi; Basidiomycota; Agaricomycetes; Agaricales
Description: sequence contains ITS1
Source: RNAcentral